RNAcentral lists this ribosomal RNA (467 nucleotides) under uncultured bacterium. RNAcentral's name for it is "partial 16S ribosomal RNA". It matches the Rfam family "Bacterial small subunit ribosomal RNA", at positions 36 to 507 of the family's 1533-position model. The record is from RNAcentral.
UCCUCCCUCUGGCGGCGUGCUUAACACAUGCAAGUCGAACGGAAAGGCCUCUUUCGGGGGGUACUCGAGUGGCGAACGGGUGAGUAACACGUGAGUAACCUGCCCUUGACUUUGGGAUAACUUCAGGAAACUGGGGCUAAUACCGGAUAGGAGCUCCUGCUGCAUGGUGGGGGUUGGAAAGUUUCGGCGGUUGGGGAUGGACUCGCGGCUUAUCAGCUUGUUGGUGGGGUAGUGGCUUACCAAGGCUUUGACGGGUAGCCGGCCGGAGAGGGUGACCGGCCACAUUGGGACUGAGAUACGGCCCAGACUCCUACGGGAGGCAGCAGUGGGGAAUAUUGCACAAUGGGUGGAAGCCUGAUGCAGCAACGCCGUGUGCGGGAUGACGGCCUUCGGGUUGUAAACCGCUUUCGCUCAUGACGAAGCUUUGUGUGACGGUAGUGGGUAAAGAAGCACCGGCUAACUACGUG